AGUCGAGCGGUAGAGAGAAGCUUGCUUCUCUUGAGAGCGGCGGACGGGUGAGUAAUGCCUAGGAAUCUGCCUGGUAGUGGGGGAUAACGUUCGGAAACGGACGCUAAUACCGCAUACGUCCUACGGGAGAAAGCAGGGGACCUUCGGGCCUUGCGCUAUCAGAUGAGCCUAGGUCGGAUUAGCUAGUUGGUGAGGUAAUGGCUCACCAAGGCGACGAUCCGUAACUGGUCUGAGAGGAUGAUCAGUCACACUGGAACUGAGACACGGUCCAGACUCCUACGGGAGGCAGCAGUGGGGAAUAUUGGACAAUGGGCGAAAGCCUGAUCCAGCCAUGCCGCGUGUGUGAAGAAGGUCUUCGGAUUGUAAAGCACUUUAAGUUGGGAGGAAGGGCAGUUACCUAAUACGUGAUUGUUUUGACGUUACCGACAGAAUAAGCACCGGCUAACUCUGUGCCAGCAGCCGCGGUAAUACAGAGGGUGCAAGCGUUAAUCGGAAUUACUGGGCGUAAAGCGCGCGUAGGUGGUUUGUUAAGUUGGAUGUGAAAUCCCCGGGCUCAACCUGGGAACUGCAUUCAAAACUGACUGACUAGAGUAUGGUAGAGGGUGGUGGAAUUUCCUGUGUAGCGGUGAAAUGCGUAGAUAUAGGAAGGAACACCAGUGGCGAAGGCGACCACCUGGACUGAUACUGACACUGAGGUGCGAAAGCGUG
Molecule: ribosomal RNA, 708 nt
Filed under: Pseudomonas sp.
Lineage: Bacteria; Pseudomonadati; Pseudomonadota; Gammaproteobacteria; Pseudomonadales; Pseudomonadaceae
Description: bacterial SSU rRNA
Rfam family: Bacterial small subunit ribosomal RNA
Source: RNAcentral